UCCGGUGGGUGGUCUCUGGGGCCCAGAUCGUUUACCGUGAAAAAAUUAGAGUGUUCAAAGCAGGCAGAUUUUACCAUUCUGCCACCGAAUACAUUAGCAUGGGAUAAUGGAAUAGGACCCUGUCCUCCUAUUUUCCGCGUUGGUUUUUGAGGACCAGGGUAAUGAUUAAUAGGGAUAGUUGGGGGCAUUAAUAUUUAAUUGUCAGAGGUGAAAUUCUUGGAUUUAUGAAAGAUUAACUUCUGCGAAAGCAUCUGCCAAGGAUGUUUUCAUUAAUCAAGAACGAAAGUUAGGGGAUCGAAGACGAUCAGAUACCGUCGUAGUCUUAACCAUAAACGAUGCCGACCAGCGAUUAGGAGACGUUGAAUACAAAACACCACCAUCAGGCAGUGGGAUCGUGCUUCGCUUUUCCGGCAACGGGAAAGUGGAGGCGGUCUCAUUCCCCUGAUGGCCCGGUGAAUGACUCCCCUAGCAGCUUGUGAGAAAUCAUAA
This 489-nucleotide ribosomal RNA is filed under the name Acanthamoeba sp. CDC # V329. RNAcentral's name for it is "SSU rRNA". It matches the Rfam family "Eukaryotic small subunit ribosomal RNA", at positions 721 to 1102 of the family's 1831-position model. The record is from RNAcentral. Lineage: Eukaryota; Discosea; Longamoebia; Acanthamoebidae.